ACAACAACAAACCAGAUUUUUUUUUGCAGCUGCAGGUCUGGUGCUGUGCUUAUUUAAUUCGUCUUCGUUAAGUGAAAAUUCUAAUAAAUUGUCUCGAAAGUGAGAACUGCAAGGAAGACAUAUUAUUUGGCUUAUUCGGUUAUUUGAGGUUCUUAGAAAUAUCCCUGAAACGCCGCCAGUAUCCAAAGAUGCUCCCAUUUACUGCAUUGAUCAUCAGGCAAGGACGACGCUAUAAUACAGAACGCCGAAAAAACGACCGGGCUCGCGACCGAGCGGGACAUGGAAUCAUGGAAUCGGAAGAUAAUAUGUAGUUCCGGUACCCAUUUGUGUCCGACGAAAACAUCAUCGUGCAUUGUAUAAAGAACUACUCUGCGAACCCCGACGAAUGCAUGGAUUUUUCCAGCCGCCUUGGCGAAUGAGAGCUUGCACUAUUUAAUAAAGAAAUAAUUAAAAUAAUAAAAUUCAUAAACUUCA
Molecule: long non-coding RNA, 474 nt
Organism: Armigeres subalbatus
Lineage: Eukaryota; Metazoa; Arthropoda; Insecta; Diptera; Culicidae
Exons: 2
Source: RefSeq, a predicted model, not a curated record